AGUGAACGCUGGCGGUAGGCCUAACACAUGCAAGUCGAACGGCAGCACAGUAAGAGCUUGCUCUUACGGGUGGCGAGUGGCGGACGGGUGAGGAAUACAUCGGAAUCUACUUUUUCGUGGGGGAUAACGUAGGGAAACUUACGCUAAUACCGCAUACGACCUACGGGUGAAAGCAGGGGAUCUUCGGACCUUGCGCGAUUGAAUGAGCCGAUGUCGGAUUAGCUAGUUGGCGGGGUAAAGGCCCACCAAGGCGACGAUCCGUAGCUGGUCUGAGAGGAUGAUCAGCCACACUGGAACUGAGACACGGUCCAGACUCCUUCGGGAGGCAGCGGUGGGGAAUGUUGGACACUGGGCGCAUGUCUGAUGCAGCCAUACCGCGUGGGUAAAGAAGGCCUUCUGGUUGUAAAGCCCUUUUGUUGGGAAAGAAAAUCAGCAGGUUAAUACCCCGCUGUUCUGACGGUACCCAAAGAAUAAACACCGGCUAACUUCGU
This 491-nucleotide ribosomal RNA is filed under the name uncultured bacterium. RNAcentral's name for it is "partial 16S ribosomal RNA". It matches the Rfam family "Bacterial small subunit ribosomal RNA", at positions 29 to 506 of the family's 1533-position model. The record is from RNAcentral.